UACGUAGGGUGCAAGCGUUGUCCGGAAUUAUUGGGCGUAAAGAGCUCGUAGGCGGUCUGUCGCGUCUGCUGUGAAAACCUGGGGCUUAACCCCGGGCCUGCAGUGGGUACAGGCAGACUAGAGUGUGGUAGGGGAGACUGGAAUUCCUGGUGUAGCGGUGAAAUGCGCAGAUAUCAGGAGGAACACCAAUGGCGAAGGCAGCUCGCUGGGACGGUACUGACGCUGAGGCGCGAAAGCGUGGGGAGCAAACAGG
Molecule: ribosomal RNA, 253 nt
Filed under: uncultured bacterium
Lineage: Bacteria
Description: partial 16S ribosomal RNA
Rfam family: Bacterial small subunit ribosomal RNA
Source: RNAcentral